This is a long non-coding RNA of Gasterosteus aculeatus aculeatus (three-spined stickleback), 402 nucleotides long. NCBI's taxonomy places the organism in Eukaryota, Metazoa, Chordata, Actinopteri, Perciformes, Gasterosteidae. The record is from Ensembl.
GCGUUUCCUACCUUAUGCUAACGAUAUAUGUACCAAUAAACAAAAAACAACAUUCAAAGUGUGCCAAACUCUGAUCUGUGAUCAAUGAGAUCCUUUGAAGAUGAACCAAGUGGAUCAGAGAGACUUUGCAGAUCUUUUGGAACCCAACCUCUCUCAUUAUGUUGUAAAUAAUCUCAGCAGCAAGCUAAAGCGGAAUUUUGUGUCCGCGCGAGCUCGGCACAUCGCAUCCCUUUCAUCUGGGGACUUCAUAAAGUCGCCUGCCACGGCACAGAGGGAUAAAAGACGGUUUGUGUGUGCAUAUCAAGAAAAAUCUCUGCUCCCUUAAACCAAUUCUGUAUGUUCCAGCAUCUUAAAAGAGAGAAGAUUCACAGCUUCUACCGCUGCUGAUUGGCAAGGGACGCA